GCCGCGGUAAUUCCAGCUCCAAUAGCGUAUAUUAAAGUUGUUGCCGUUAAAAAGCUCGUAGUUGAACCUUGGACCUGGCUGAUCUGUCCUCCUAAUCGAGCGUACGGAUUCGGUCGGGUCUUUUUUUCUGGGGAGCCUUAUGCCCUUUACUGGGUGUAAUGGGGAACCAGGACUUUUACCUUGAAAAAAUUAGAGUGUUCAAAGCAGGCCUUUGCUCGAAUACAUUAGCAUGGAAUAAUAGAAUAGGACAUCGGUUCUAUUUUGUUGGUUUCUAGGACCGCUGUAAUGAUUAAUAGGGAUAGUCGGGGGCGUCCGUAUUCAAUUGUCAGAGGUGAAAUUCUUGGAUUUAUUGAAGACGAACUACUGCGAAAGCAUUCGCCAAGGAUGUUUUCAUUAAUCAGUGAACGAAAGUUAGGGGAUCGAAGACGAUCAGAUACCGUCGUAGUCUUAACCAUAAACUAUGCCGACUAGGGAUCGGGCGAU
This 483-nucleotide ribosomal RNA is filed under the name uncultured fungal associate of Acromyrmex octospinosus (cf. Fonsecaea). RNAcentral's name for it is "SSU rRNA". It matches the Rfam family "Eukaryotic small subunit ribosomal RNA", at positions 573 to 1061 of the family's 1831-position model. Lineage: Eukaryota; Fungi; Ascomycota. The record is from RNAcentral.